RNAcentral lists this unclassified non-coding RNA (200 nucleotides) under soil metagenome. RNAcentral describes it as "partial contains internal transcribed spacer 2 and large subunit ribosomal RNA". The record is from RNAcentral.
GCCGUGGAUAUCUAUGGCUCGUCUGAAAUGCUUCAGUGUACCCCGCAGAGCGGCGUAUUCGGUGUGAUACAUCUUCACCGGAGUUGAUCCUUCACGGGGUCGCGUCUGUAACGUGUGGCUCUAUGCUUCCAACCGUCUCUUGAUUGGACAAUCUCUGACAAUUCGACCUCAAAUCGGGUGGGACUACCCGCUGAACUUAA